Antechinus flavipes (yellow-footed antechinus) is the source of this 1352-nucleotide long non-coding RNA. RefSeq lists it as uncharacterized. NCBI's taxonomy places the organism in Eukaryota, Metazoa, Chordata, Mammalia, Dasyuromorphia, Dasyuridae. The transcript has 2 exons. The record is from RefSeq and is a predicted model, not a curated record.
UCUUGCUAGUAAUUGGUGGAAUGAGCUUUGAUAGUAAACCAGUCCUUGGGGGUGGGGAGUAAAAAGUACAGAGAACAGAGUUCAGAAGGAAAGUUAGUGAUGGUUUAGUGAUUAGACUUUAAGUCAGAGAAAAAUAGUAAUUAGAGAGUAAGGGGACUGUGUAGAACCUGAAAGAGGCUAGGCCAGUGUGAACAUUGCUGGAUGUGUCUGACGACAGCUUCUCAACUACAUUUGGGUGCAAAUCCACUGAGCUGUUCCUGAUUUUCUAGGACUGAUGGUGGGACAUUCCAUGAGUGACAAAGAAUACUUCAAGGAAGCAUGCAUGUGUGUAUAUGUUGGUGGCAACAACAGACUUUGAAGAUUGUUCUCAGGGUUCUCUCCUUAUAUCUAUCAGAUCUGACUGAGAUUGAGGAUUUCAAAUUCAGUCAAGUUUAGUCAAGUCAAUAAACAUUUGUUUAGUUCCUUCUAUAUACCUGGAACUAUGCUACAGGCUGAAAAUAUCAAAGUAAAAAUAAAAACAAAAAACAGUCCCUUGUCUCCAGGAACUUAUAGGUCUAAUAGAUAACUGCAAAUAGAUUGGUAGUCCAGGAGUGAGAUUUGAGGGUCUUCCCAUCCCCGAUUGGAUUUCUUCCCCCACCCCCAUUAGGUUAAGGAGGCCAUUCUCUGCCACAAUUCUUAUGUAGUCUUAACUACUGAAUAGGCAUUGUCUUUGUCAAACUGUGAUCUGGGAAAGACCUUAGCUUAAAAAAGAUCAAGAUCUCCCAUUGUAUCCAGGGCCAUCUCCAGCUACCCUAAUCUAUCUUGCCACUGGACCCAGGUGGCUCUGGAGGAAAAAGCAAAGCUAAUAAUUUUGUACAGCCUUCCUUCCCUCAAAACCAACUCACUUGCAUGUCAAGGCAUCACCUUCUUGAUGUCAGAGUACUAUUUUAGAAAGAAAGAGAAACUACAUGUCUUUAGCAAGCAAAGUAUAUUAGAGUAAGAAAAGCUGUAUCAUUGAAUCUAGUGUAUUGGGAGUUGGGAAUGAGAAAGUUUGAAAUUUGAGAGGGAGAUGUGUAUCUUAAAUAUGUGUCCAAAGGUUCAAUAAUUCAAUUUAAUUUAAUAAACUUUAAGUGCCUACUGGGUAAAGGAAUGAAUAAAUUACAUUAAGUGCUGCUUAUGUAUGAAUGCUAAUGUCUUCCUUCUGUUAUCUGCAAUCUGCACUAUAUAUUUCUACUUUGAAUUUAGUUGUUUUCAUCUUGUCUCUCCUAUUAGACUAAGAUAUCUUUAUUUACAGGGACUGGUUUGGCCUUUUUUGUUAUCUCUAGAACUUAGCAAAAUGCUUGGCCUUAAUAAAAGUUUCUAGGUAACCAAAA